Molecule: long non-coding RNA, 1913 nt
Organism: Hypanus sabinus (Atlantic stingray)
Lineage: Eukaryota; Metazoa; Chordata; Chondrichthyes; Myliobatiformes; Dasyatidae
Exons: 4
Source: RefSeq, a predicted model, not a curated record
GUCCGGCCAGACUGUAGCAUGACUCCAGAUUUCAUGGCAAUGAGGUUGGUUGUCGAUUUUCCUCUGAUGUGCACAUCACUACCCUCUGUGCUGCUUUCCCUCAGCACCAGACUGGAUACUUUCUGCCAGUUCCACCACAGUGAAGGCCCUCCAUCUCUGAUGCUGUCCAGGGCUUCCUUCAUCAUGCCAGUAGCUUCCUCUCCAUUUUCACUACGUCAGUCACACAAGUCCUGAGUGGAGACUGAAGAAUACCAUCGCACUCAGAUGCAGAAGGAUUCUUCAUUACUGUUUCUGUAACAGUUUUGUUUUACUAGUCAAGGUUGUUUGCCCUGAGCUGAACCCCCGAACUUGGAGGACUGGUGGACCACGCUUAGUCUGGCCUCUAACCUUUGACCUGUUUGACCCUACCAUAAAGCCCUGAUUCCAGCAUUGCUCUCCGGGUCGUUGAGGCAUGCAAGCCUCCAAACACAAUGGCAAGCUUGUGGUCUCCUAGGAGGACCAAUCUGGAUGGUAAAAUGGAUUUUGUUCUUCAUUUCUCUGGAGUUGAACUACGGAUACCUCAAACUUCUAACUCAAAUGUUAAAUUUCAACAUAGUGAGCUUCAGAUAACAGCAGGAGUUCGCAUUAGCAGAUAAGAAAAGGGAUAAUGGAGGGAUCAAAUCUCAAAGAAAGAAAACAAUCAAGCACACAGCAGCUUUAUGUCGAUACCUCCAACUGGUUCUCAGGAGAUCUGUAGAUGCUCCCAGUGCAUCCUUGGUACAGGCAUUUGGAGAAAGCAGUGAUGAACACAAGGAUGUAGUUGUCGUCAGCUAAGCCAGCAUUUAUUGCCCAUCCCUGGUUGCCCUUGAGAAGGUGGUGAUGAGCUGCCUUCUUGAACCGCUGUAGUCCCUGAGAUGGAGGAACACCCACACCUACAUAUACCGGCAAUAUUAAACCUGAUUCUGAUUCAUAUUCCCCCGUGACCACCGGCUCCUAAAUGCUUAGCUUUCCUGCCAUAUUCCAAGUAUAUGCUGGUAAGACAAGUUAGUUACUUCUGAGCAUUCCCCCAAGUGCAGAUGGGUGGCAGAAGAACUGGGAGCAUUAGUAAGCACAUGAUUCUGAAUCAGAUUCUCAGAUGUCCUCUAGAGCUCCAUGUACUGUAAAACCAAUACCAGCCUUUUCAUUUCCAGAUCAUUUUAUUCAAGUUUUUAAAUUGCGUUAGUGAAAUUCUGUGGGAAGUUGCUUAUUCUAAAUACAAGUUAAUCUAAAUCAUAUAUUUUCUUAGUGAUUAAAUGGGCCGCUGAGGAUGUUUACAUGAUUAAUGUUUUCAACAGUGAUUAAACGGAGAUGUUGCACCCACCAGCUGUUUAGCUUGUUGAACUGUAAAAUGAAGUAGGAAACAUUCAAGGAAUGCAGCACUAAAGCCAACUCAUGUAAUACUAUCUCCUGGAGGGCAGUUGAGAUUUAAUCUGGUAAAAAGAUAUAUUAAAUAAAGCUAAUUGUAAUGACCUGCUGGUUAUGUUAUACCAUGUUCUGACGUGCGAUCAAAUUAAAAUCAAUUGGAACACUGAAUUGUGUGAUUCCUGACCAUUUUGUUUCUCCAUUUCGUAGCAAAGUUACCAACUAGAUAUCUUGUAAAGAGUAGUUAACUGCUAAAUUAAUCUAUUUUUAGUAAAUUCUUCUAACAAAGUAUAGAGAUGAAACUAGUGACACUUAUUAGCAAAAAGGUGACAAUUAUCUCAGAGUCAAUAGCUGAGUAAUAGAUUCAAUUCUAAACUGAAGACUAUAUUAUGUAGAUUUAACACUACAAUUGAACCCAUGAAAACUACCUCACUACCUUUUUAUUUCCAUUUUAUUUUUAUUUCUAUCUAUUAUAUAUACUAUAUAUUAUAUAAUUAUAAAUAGUUAGAUAUGCCAAUGAUAUUAAAUCUGAU